CCUGUUUAUCAAAAACAUGUCUGUAAGUUUUCUGUUUACAGUCUGGCCUGCCCACUGAUAUUAUUAAAGGGCCGCGGUAAUUUGACCGUGCGAAGGUAGCAUAAUCAUUAGUUUUUUAAUUGAAGVCUUGUAUGAAUGGUCGGACGAAGAAUUGGCUGUCUUUUUGUUAUUBUGAAUUUAACUUUUAAGUGAAAAGGCUUAAAUUGGUUGGAGGGACGAUAAGACCCUAUAAAACUUUAUAUAGCUUUAUUAUGGUAUACCAAUUUUGUUUAAGUUUAUUUGGAUGUAGCUAUAUUUUGCUGGGGCGGCAUUUUCAUAAUUUGUAACUGUUUUUUAAAUUUAAUAAAUAUAAUUAGGUUUUGGUCCUUUAUUAGAGAUUAAAAGAUUAAGUUACUUUAGGGAUAACAGCGUAAUUUUCUCUGAGAGUUCUUAUCGACGAGAUUAGUUGNCGACCUCGAUGUUGAAUUAAAAUUUCAGAUUGGUGUAGUCGCUUUUCUGGU
This 500-nucleotide ribosomal RNA is filed under the name Conchodytes placunae. RNAcentral describes it as "partial large subunit ribosomal RNA". Lineage: Eukaryota; Metazoa; Arthropoda; Malacostraca; Decapoda; Palaemonidae. The record is from RNAcentral.